ACAGAUGCACAAAAUAACUUGAGAUAAAGCACAGAUGCUCACAGACCCAGUUCAAAGCGAUGGCAGCUUGAUGCUGAGACGCUGAUGACUGUUGUUCCAGG
Long non-coding RNA from Mustela erminea (ermine), 101 nucleotides. RefSeq lists it as uncharacterized. The transcript has 3 exons. Lineage: Eukaryota; Metazoa; Chordata; Mammalia; Carnivora; Mustelidae. The record is from RefSeq and is a predicted model, not a curated record.